Prunus avium (sweet cherry) is the source of this 2004-nucleotide non-coding RNA. The record is from RefSeq and is a predicted model, not a curated record. Lineage: Eukaryota; Viridiplantae; Streptophyta; Magnoliopsida; Rosales; Rosaceae.
AUCAUUCUACUUCAUGUUUAUCACUAUUGUUUUUUUCGCUCGUUCUCAAUAUUCUAACUUAAAUUUGAUAAUUGGAGAUGACUUAAUAGGAAAUGCACAAGUGGACCCCAAGUGGGGGAAUCUCCUAUAUUUUUUAGAUACUAGCUGCUCUCAUAACACUGAAAUACUAGACAUGUUUUUUUUUUCUUUCCAUGAUCAAUAGGAAUUGCUAAGUUUAUCAUUGCCAUCAUUAACAUUAUCAGUGUAUAAACUAGCCAUAAUAAUUUGCGCGUUUUCUGGUGGUUAAACAAAUAGGAUUGUCCUUGCUUCCUAUUUCUUUUAUCACAUACUGACCUCUAUUUUUGUUAUUGCAAUUUCUGUUUACUGUCUUAUGCUGUGAGAUUGAGAUAACGGAGUUAGAUUAAUUCGCUCAAGCUGCUUUUUGUGGAUAUAUUUCUCUGAACCGUAUUCAGAGCCGCAUGUUUCAUACUAUUUAAUACACUAAUGAAAAUAUACUAGUUUGUGCUCCAACAGGAGCUGGCAAAACAAACAUAGCUAUGAUUUCUAUUCUACAUGAGGUAUGCAAAUGAUUGGCUAUUCCUGGGUCUCUAUUCUCAUUUUUGAUUGCACAGCACUUCAAAGACGGUUACUUGCAUAAAGAUGAAUUUAAGAUAGUUUAUGUUGCACCAAUGAAGGCAUUAGCUGCAGAAGUUACAUCAACUUUUAGCCAUCGCUUAUCUCCAUUGAAUAUGACUGUGAGAGAACUUACUGGAGGCAUGCAACUUUCUAAGAAUGAACUUGAAGAAACUCAGAUGAUAGUCACAACGCCUGAGAAAUGGAAUGUCAUUACUCACAAGAGCAGUGACAUGUCACUUUCAAUGUUGGUGAAGAUCCUAAUUAUUGAUUAAGUGCAUCUAUUAAAUGAUGAUGGAGGCCCUGUAAUUGAGGCACUAGUUGCUUGAACUUUGCGCCAGGUGGAGUCUACACAGACAAUGAUACGCAUUGUAGGCCCUUCAGCCACUCUACCGAACUAUUUGGAGGUUGCUACAGUUUCUGAGAGUGAAUCCAGAAGCAGGAUCUUCUUCUUUAAUUCUAGUUAUCGCCCUGUGCGCCUCGCACAGCAAUAUAUUGGUAUUAGUGAGCAGAAUUUUACAGCCCAUAUUGAAUUGCAGAAUGAGAUACGCUACAAGAAGUUUGUUGAAUCACUCAGGAAAGGUUAUCAGGCAAUGUUUAUUAGUUCCUUGAAAGACAAUUUAAAUGCAGAGGUGGCACUUGGUACUGUCACCAAUGUCAAGGAAGCUUGUGAAUGGCUUGGAUAUACGUAACUUUUCAUAAGGAUGAGGCUGAAUCCUUUGGUGUAUGGUAUUGGGUGGGAUGAGGUUGUUGCUGAUCCUUCCUUGAGUUUAAAGCAAAGAGCUCUCAUAGCAGAUGCUGCACGUUCCCUGGACAAAGCAAAAAUGAUGCGCUUUGAUGAGAAAAGUGGCAACUUUUUGUACAGAGCUUGGUCGAAUUGCAAGCCACUUUUAUAUUCAAUAUUCAAGUGUUGAAACAUAGAAUGAAAUGUUGAGACGCCACAUGAAGGUAAUAGACAUGGUAGCCCACUCUUCAGAAAUUGAAAAUAUUGUUCUUCGAGAUGAGGAACAGAAUGAGCUAGAGACGUUGGUGCGAUCAUCGUGCCCAUUAGAAGUUAAGGGGGCUCCUUCUAAAAAACAUGGAAAGAUAUCCAUUCUCAUUCAGGUUAUUUAUAUAGCUCCUUUGAAGGCUAUUGUUAGGCCAUCGCUGGUCCCAUCACAUUGAUCAAUGGCGUCGCAGCCCCCUCCUUCGCUGGUCCUUAUUCUGUCUCGGGAUGCCCUCCCCUCCCCACCAGUUUAGGAUUUGGAUUAUCUUGCAUCGGAUCCAUCUAUCUGGUGGCUUCAUUAUCCUUCAUCAUCCAAACAAACAAGUUGUCAACUUUUAGUGGCAGUUAUUACCGCUGCGAAAGGUGUAAAAACCGUCAGAAAAUAAUAAAAACUGUCAUUUAAGACA